RNAcentral lists this ribosomal RNA (448 nucleotides) under uncultured organism. Its description in RNAcentral is "partial 16S ribosomal RNA". It matches the Rfam family "Bacterial small subunit ribosomal RNA", at positions 334 to 798 of the family's 1533-position model. The record is from RNAcentral.
CACUCCUGCGGGAGGCAGCAGUGGGGAAUAUUGGACAAUGGGCGCAAGCCUGAUCCAGCCAUGCCGCGUGAGUGAUGAAGGCCCUAGGGUUGUAAAGCUCUUUCACCGGUGAAGAUAAUGACGGUAACCGGAGAAGAAGCCCCGGCUAACUUCGUGCCAGCAGCCGCGGUAAUACGAAGGGGGCUAGCGUUGUUCGGAUUUACUGGGCGUAAAGCGCACGUAGGCGGACUAUUAAGUCAGGGGUGAAAUCCCGGGGCUCAACCCCGGAACUGCCUUUGAUACUGGUAGUCUUGAGUUCGAGAGAGGUGAGUGGAAUUCCGAGUGUAGAGGUGAAAUUCGUAGAUAUUCGGAGGAACACCAGUGGCGAAGGCGGCUCACUGGCUCGAUACUGACGCUGAGGUGCGAAAGCGUGGGGAGCAAACAGGAUUAGAAACCCGAGUAGUCCCAU